UUAAUUAUAUCUUCAUAUAAUAUAUACAUAGCUUUUCUUUUAAUAAUCUCAUAUUGUGAUCAAUUACUAUAUUUACUAGUACAAGUCACAAUGGUUUCUGCUGAAGCUCUUCGAACUCUAGUUGGUAUCAUAGGAAACAUCAUAUGCCUUUUUUUCUAUUUGUCACCAGUGCCAACAUUUGUUAGAAUAUGGAAGAAAGGGGCAGUGGAAGAUUACUCGGCAUUGCCAUACCUUGCAACCCUAAUGAGUUGCAUGGUAUGGACUCUCUACGGGCUGCCUAUUGUGCAUCCCGGGAGCACUUUGGUAUUUACCAUAAGCUUUUUAGGAGUUGUGAUCGAGACUAUCUUACUUAUCAUCUUCUUGAUCUUUUCUGACAAGAAAAAACGACUUAAACUUCUUCUAUUGUUGUUUCUCGAGCUCUUCAUCAUAGCUCUUCUCGCUACUUUAUCUCUAACUCUAUUUCACUCAUACAAGAAGAGAUCUUUGAUUGUUGGUGUCGUCGGUGUUUCCUUCAGCAUCGUCAUGUACUUUUCGCCUUUGUCUGUCAUGAAGCUGGUGAUAUCAACAAAAAGUGUGGAGUUUAUGCCAUUCUCACUCUCACUUGCUGCAUUCUUCAAUUGUCUCGUUUGGUCUACUUAUGCUCUUAUCCGUUUUGACCCUUUUAUCCUUGUACCGAAUGGAUUAGGGGUAGUGUUUGGAGUAGCACAGCUGAUUCUAUAUGGUGUUUAUUACAAGUCAACAAAUAAAAUUAUGGAAGAGAGGAAGGACAAAGAAGUAAUUUUAUCAGAUGUAAUGUUGCAGAUUUUUCGUCAACUCUGAAAUUUGGAUGUUAGUCACUAUUUCGUGUAAUCCAACAAAAGAUUUUGGAGAAGAUUCAUAUGUCAAGCAGUUUGCUAUUGCGUUUUUAAUUUCUGUUUCGUUACUCUCCGCCCUUAAAAUAGAUGCUUCUGCCUCUGGGAGUUGAGGAUUGAUUUUGAAGGUACUCGUGUCGCGUGACGAUAGAGACAGCCCUAAAUCAAAAUGUAUGUGUUAAUUGAAUUUUUGAAUUUUUGCUUUUAAAUAUCAAUAGUUUAACUUGGUUUGAACAAUUAGUUUUGAUCCCAAUAUUAUGGGUCUGUCUUCGAUUACUUCUGCUAUUUGUAAGCAUUCAUCGUGGACUUUAUGCCCCCACAUCGUCAAACAUACUGGUUUGAAGCUA
Cannabis sativa is the source of this 1198-nucleotide RNA transcript. It is a transcript of the gene named bidirectional sugar transporter SWEET4, with no coding region annotated. The transcript is spliced from 7 exons. The record is from RefSeq and is a predicted model, not a curated record. NCBI's taxonomy places the organism in Eukaryota, Viridiplantae, Streptophyta, Magnoliopsida, Rosales, Cannabaceae.